GCCCGUGUAACUCAGUGGUAGAGUACCUCCUUGGUAAGGAGGAAGUCACGAGUUCAAAUCUCGUCACGGGCU
Molecule: transfer RNA, 72 nt
Rfam family: tRNA
About the family: Transfer RNA (tRNA) molecules are approximately 80 nucleotides in length.
Source: Rfam